AAAGGAGGGCACUACUACUCAUGCCAGGGGGAACUUGGUCAAUGGCACAAGGGAGAUGGGUGGCACCUGAUGAAGGCUUGGAAUAAGCAACUAUUUGCCAGUGUCUGCUUUCAUUACCAUUCCAAUCCAGAGCUAGAAGUGAAAUUCUGAAGAUGAAUGGAGAUGCAGCCUGGAGCCUAGUUUAUCAGCAAAAAGGAACAGCAAGCCCUAAGGAAAGGACGUGUAAUUUUGCUUGUCUCUUUAUUUUGCAC
This 251-nucleotide long non-coding RNA is filed under the name Pan troglodytes (chimpanzee). RNAcentral describes it as "long non-coding RNA NONPTRT006863". Lineage: Eukaryota; Metazoa; Chordata; Mammalia; Primates; Hominidae. The record is from RNAcentral.